CAGCCGCCGCGGUAAUACGUAGGGUGCGAGCGUUAAUCGGAAUUACUGGGCGUAAAGCGUGCGCAGGCGGUUUUGUAAGACAGGCGUGAAAUCCCCGGGCUCAACCUGGGAAUGGCGCUUGUGACUGCAAAGCUAGAGUGCGGCAGAGGGGGAUGGAAUUCCGCGUGUAGCAGUGAAGUGCGUAGAUAUGCGGAGGAAUACCGAUGGCGAAGGCAAUCCCCUGGGCCUGCACUGACGCUCAUGCACGAAAGCGUGGGGAGCAAACAGGAUUAGAUACCCCCGUAGUCCCUGUCUCUUAUAA
Molecule: ribosomal RNA, 301 nt
Filed under: uncultured bacterium
Lineage: Bacteria
Description: partial 16S ribosomal RNA
Rfam family: Bacterial small subunit ribosomal RNA
Source: RNAcentral